GGAUGCGAUCAUACCAGCACUAAUGCACCGGAUCCCAUCAGAACUCCGAAGUUAAGCGUGCUUGGGCGUACUAGGAUGGGUGAGAAGUGUUGCAUCCC
RNAcentral lists this ribosomal RNA (98 nucleotides) under Ipomoea nil (Japanese morning glory). The record is from RNAcentral. Lineage: Eukaryota; Viridiplantae; Streptophyta; Magnoliopsida; Solanales; Convolvulaceae.